UAUACAUUGUCACGCAUUAACUUACAGCCAUCUUGAAUGGACCUGGCCCUCUGGGACUUGAGAGUUAUUUCAUCCCAGAUUCAAGUCUGACAGCUUCCAGUGAGUUUAGUGAUUCACAUCUUGCAAACAGAGGUCGUCUUAACGUGGUCAAAGUCGGGAACCUGUACGGAGCCUGGUCUUCACGAGUAAACGAUGCCAACCAGUGGAUCCAGGUGGAUCUUUUGAACCGUUACAGUAUCACUUCAGUUGCGACUCAAGGGCGACAAGAUUACAACCAGUGGGUAACAAGUUACAAACUUUCUUGUAGUACUGAUUUCACGACCUUUCACACCGUGCAGGACAUCUCUACAAACCCUGCAUAUGACGAGGUCUUCACCGGUAAUGUUGACCGCAACACCAUCGUGACCAACACUCUGCCUGUACCCCAAAUUUGCCGCUAUGUCCGCUUGAUGCCUGUCAGCUGGUUCGGCCAUGUCAGUCUUCGUAUGGAGAUCUACG
Strongylocentrotus purpuratus (purple sea urchin) is the source of this 498-nucleotide RNA transcript. RefSeq lists it as uncharacterized. The transcript is spliced from 3 exons. NCBI's taxonomy places the organism in Eukaryota, Metazoa, Echinodermata, Echinoidea, Camarodonta, Strongylocentrotidae. The record is from RefSeq and is a predicted model, not a curated record.